Molecule: long non-coding RNA, 1141 nt
Organism: Perognathus longimembris pacificus (Pacific pocket mouse)
Lineage: Eukaryota; Metazoa; Chordata; Mammalia; Rodentia; Heteromyidae
Exons: 3
Source: RefSeq, a predicted model, not a curated record
CCACGUGUGUGUGUGUGUGUGUAAGGGUGGAGAAGGGCAAGGACACGGCUACUUAAAUGCAUCCCUGGGGCUGGGACUACAGGCUUGUCUCCAGAGAUUCAGAGCUGUCCUGUUCCUGCUUGGCACCCUGUGGCUAGGGACCCUUGCCACUGCUGCUUCCUGUAGCAGGCGGAAAUCGUCUGUAGAGAUGGUCACGAAGCCUGAUUCCUGGAAACACUAGGACAAUUUGAGUCACUACCAUCAUUGGAGGCCCGGUCGACACAAUGAUGCUAAGUUCAGAGAGCUGCUGUGUACCAGACUUGGUGGCUAGCUGCUUCCUGUGGGGAUAUGUACACUGAUUCCCCGAAGCCUGCAUCAUAGCGGUGACUUUCCCACCCAGGCCAGACUCGUUCUCUUCACUUCACUUCUCUCCCGAGACUCUCAACGGAAGUUUCCCUCUGGUCAGACAGGAGAGUGAAACGGCUAGCUCAGGGCUUGGGCUCGUUUGAGGUGGGCCUGCCUGGUGACAAAGCUCUUCUUCCUAAGUGCGGCAUGGUGGAGGAGAUGCCACACACCCCUUACUACUCCAGCCAGGUUUCUUAAUGUCCCCCAUGAGCGGAGCUCUGCCCAUAGGAGGUGUACAAAACCACUUGCCGAGUAAGGCUUCUAAAGCAAAGCAAUGAGGUAGAGGUGCAAAGGCCGUGACACGAACUGGAAACUAGAGAGGUUGACACAGAUAAAAACUGCUCCAUUUCUCAGUGAAAAAUCUACCUCCGAUCUUACUGCUUCUGUCAGUGCCAACAACCACCAAAUUUGGAUCUGUACGACCCCAAGUGAGAGGCACGUGGGACGGUUCUUGCAGGGCUUUCCUUGAGAGUAAGGCACUAACCAGCAAUGUUCUGGGCAAGCUGCUAUUUCUCCUUCCAGUGUUUCUCAGCAUCCAAGCCUGACUGGAGCAUCUCCCCUGAUGUGUCCACUUCCAGACCGCUUGGGGAGCACCAGAAACCAGUGAACCAGUGAGCUGUGGAGAUGCUGGGUUAGAGAUGUGGGGACAUGGAUCCUAAAUCACAAGCUGGCUUCUGUCGCAACUCCAUUUCCUAGACUAAGGCAAUGUAUAGCAAGCCACUUACAAGCGCUGUGUGUGGGUACAGUCAGCCUUGGU